ACCCCGUUAAGGUAUUAAAGUGCGGAGUAGUAUUUGUUAGUUAUUGCAUGAUAUUACCCGUCCAAAUCUUAUCAGUCACGGAGGCAUUGAAAUUACAAAUACCAAAGGGGAGGGAGUUGGGGAUUUUCAGAGUUUUAAAAAGGAUAAAAGUCUAGGCGACAAGCAAAAACACAUAAACAGUUAGGGGAAACAAAUAGCAAUUAAGGCUCAAACAAUCCUCCUCACUUAAAAGAGCAAAUAAAGCAUGAAUUCAAAUAUUGGUUUGGUCUGAAUUAAAUAAAGCAUACUGAUUCAUCUGAUAUUUC
RNAcentral lists this long non-coding RNA (305 nucleotides) under Nicotiana benthamiana. Its description in RNAcentral is "long non-coding RNA (NBEN_LNC025847)". The record is from RNAcentral. Lineage: Eukaryota; Viridiplantae; Streptophyta; Magnoliopsida; Solanales; Solanaceae.